RNAcentral lists this ribosomal RNA (433 nucleotides) under uncultured bacterium. RNAcentral describes it as "partial 16S ribosomal RNA". It matches the Rfam family "Bacterial small subunit ribosomal RNA", at positions 29 to 507 of the family's 1533-position model. The record is from RNAcentral.
AACGAACGCUGGCGGCAUGCCUAACACAUGCAAGUCGAACGAAGGCUUCGGCCUUUGUCGCGUACGGGUGCGUAACGCGUGGGAAUAUGCCCUUUGGUUUGGCAUAACAGCUGGAAACGGAUGCUAACACCGGAUGAUGACGAAAGCCCAAAGAUUUAUCGCAAGAGGAUGAGCACGCGUUGGAUUAGGUGGUUGGUGGGGUAAAGGCCUACCACGCGGCCGAUCAAUAGCUGGUCAGAGAGAAAGCUCAGCCACACUUAGACGGAGACACGGCCGGGACUCCUACGGAAGGCGGCAGUGGGGGAUGUUGGACAGUGGGCGCAGGCAUGAUGGUGCUAGGCCGCGAAAAUGAUGAAGUCCGUGGAGUUGAAAAGCGCAUGUACCCAUGAAGGUAAUGACGGUACCGGAAGAAUAAGCCCCGGCUAACUCCGUG